GUAUUACUCCCUCCGUCCCAAAAAGCUUGUCUAAAUACGGAUGUAUCUAACACUAAAACGUGUCUGGAUACAUCCGUAUCUAAACAAAUCUAAGACAAGCUUUUCGGGACGGAGGUAAUACUUA
Non-coding RNA from Triticum aestivum (bread wheat), 124 nucleotides. The record is from Rfam. Lineage: Eukaryota; Viridiplantae; Streptophyta; Magnoliopsida; Poales; Poaceae.